UGGUUAAAGUAGCGUGAAACGACGUCAUCACAUGUAUCGAUUUUGUGUCAUGGCGGCUUAUGGAAGAGUUGUCGCAUUGUUGUUUUGUUUGUGAUUUAUAGAAAAGCGUCAUGUAGAAAAUAAUUAUGAAUAUGCUUUUAAUACACAUUAUACUCUCUCAGUUUAUAUAUAGACCGGUGACAUUUAGGGCUGUAAACAACGAUUAUGAAGAUCGUAGCUGCUAUGUGCGACAAAAGUCGAGGUAUUGGAAUGAGUAAUGGAAUUCCGUGGCCAUAUCUUCCUGGCGAUGACAAAUAUUACAGAACACUUGUAGCUCCAAAACAUCAAGACCAACGUACAGCCAAUAUUAAAGGUAGACUCACGUGGAUCUCAACUAAAGAAGAUGAAAGUAAGGCACCGGGUAUCAUCAAUAUCGUUAUAACCAGUAAACCCAAAGAAUCUCUGAUACCAACCAAUGUGCAUUAUACUUGUUCAUCACUGGAAGAUGCUCACCAAUAUGCCUUAGAUUGUAAUAUAACCGAGGACGAUAUCUGGGUUAUGGGUGGCCAUGAUGUUUAUAAGUCCGCCAUAGAACAUCCAUUUUGUACGCAUUUACAUUUAACACGUUUGUUUGCUGAAUUUGAAACAGAUACAUCUUUUCCACCAUUUGAACAUCAGUUUAAACUCAUCAAAGAUCCCGAAAUUCACAAGGAAAAUGGUAUUAAAUAUCAAUUUGAAGUUUAUGGACGAAUGAAAGCCCACCAGUAACAACUCAGCCCAUCACUAUCAUUGUUAGUGUAUCGGAUAAUUAUUUGAUCUGCAAUAAAUGUUUAGUGUAUACCACAACAAAUAAUUAAGUGGUUUUGUUUUUGUUAUAUGUGUAAAAAUAAUGGGUGAGAGUCCGAUCCGAAUAUUUCACUUUUGGCGUGGCUUUGCUUUCCAGGAGAGAGUGGCGUGAAGGGUGUGUUUUCUAAAAAAUUCUUUGUUACUUUAAAACAAUUUAUAUAUAUUUGCCCAUUGUUUCCAAUUUGCUUAUUUAACGUAGGGAUCUUUUUAAAUCUGGAGGCACACUACCGUUUUGAUGUUUCGGUUUAAAAUGGAAGAGCAGGGGUUAAAUUAACAUGUUCUGCCAGGUUUUGGUAAAUAGUAAAGAUUCCAGACUUAAGAAUAUGAUUACGGUGAUAUGUACGGCGGAUAGUUACAGGUUUCUACAAUGCUACUUUAAGUUUAUGUAUCUCAAAAUUUCAUUGGUUAGCCACAUAUAAUAUCUGGAGAAAAGACAUGUCCAUUUGAUGCUCUGCCUGUAGUGAAAAGCGUUCAACAUAACGGAAGUUUGAGGAAAAGUUGGAGCCGGAUACAGAGACCAGAAUUGACAUUGAAGUCAUUUGGGAAAUUAAUGGUGAUCUGCCUCCACAUGAAAUCAGACGGGCAAUUCACUUGACAUAGACAUCGCUGUUAAAUUCAUAUCAUUUUUUGGCCGAUUCAUCCUGAAAUUGAAUGAUACAACAUCCUGCGGUUUUUUAGUUAGACCGUCACUUCACAAGGUCGGCCAGACCUUGGUUGUCUUCAGUGCUGAUCCCCCCCUGUACUAUACCAAGGAGCAUUGCCACAUAAUGUUUGUAACAUGUCAUCAUAAAUUUGCUAUGGUGCUAAAUCUUUCAAAUGGAGAUACAUAUUUAAUCAUUGCCCUGUAUUGAGUUUUCUCCAUUUUGAGAGCAAAUGAAAGGGUCACGUUGUUUGAUAGCUAUAUAUAGGAAUUCACGUGUUGCGUAUCAGGCACAUGCUGAGAUACUGUUCUAGCAUUAUGAUUGGGUGAGUUCAGACACUUUUGAGGCACCCGUCGUACGUUUUUGAAUAUUAAAGACCCCCCCCCCUCACACUCACACACACAAACACAUAAAUUAACACAUCUUAUUUGAUAAAACCUAAACUUUUAUUAUUCAAAAAAAUCCAAGAUGGUAUGUCCUGAUGAGACAAGAUUGUAGCGACGACAGAUUUUGAUUACCUGUAAACGUGGUCAAUAUGAAUAUGUGACAAUUUCGUGAUAGAUAGGAAGAGUAUGACCGCACCUAAGUUGAAUCAAAUUGUUUCAAAUCGUGCUAUCUUUUUUAUCUUCAUCUACAUGUUGUAAAAUCUCACAGACUGUCCUACAUUAUAUAUUUACAAAGUAGAAUCGUUAUUCUAAAAUAAGAGUAGACGAAUACAAGAUGAAAGUUGCUGUUAUAGUGUUGGUUUGUUUUGUAGCAGGUAAUAAGACUUAUGUUAUGUGGUGUCGAUGUUUAUCUCGAAGAGAAUAUGUGGCUUUGUGAAUUGUUUAAAAAGACUUGAAUUUUAGUGGGAUGGACUGCUCCUGCUUUACAGUUUGGUACGUGUGUGGAGAUGUGCUCUUUAAGUGGCGAAUUCGGUUCACCUUGUAAAGCUGGUUAUCACUGUGCCUCAAAUGGAUGUGGACACACCUGUCAAAAGACUGACAUCAUCUUGGGACAUAAAAUAUGUAACAAUAUCCAUAUGGCUUUGUGUGAUCUGUGGUGUCCUAAUGGUGCUGGUUUUGCCCAUGAUGAAAAUGGAUGCCCUCUUUGUAAAUGUGGCACCGGUCUUCAGAUUGCCCAGAUUCAAUAGGAUUUAUUUUUCGU
Patella vulgata (common limpet) is the source of this 2612-nucleotide long non-coding RNA. RefSeq lists it as uncharacterized. The record is from RefSeq and is a predicted model, not a curated record. Lineage: Eukaryota; Metazoa; Mollusca; Gastropoda; Patellidae. The transcript is spliced from 8 exons.